This is a non-coding RNA of Trametes gibbosa, 104 nucleotides long. NCBI's taxonomy places the organism in Eukaryota, Fungi, Basidiomycota, Agaricomycetes, Polyporales, Polyporaceae. The record is from the annotation of a GenBank genome assembly.
UGCCCCAUGGCUGAGUUGGUUACAGCGUCCGACUGUUAGGUAAUACAACCUGCGGGUUGAUUACUGCGAUCGGAAGGUCGUGAGUUCGAGCCUCACUGGGGCAG